Molecule: ribosomal RNA, 253 nt
Filed under: uncultured bacterium
Lineage: Bacteria
Description: partial 16S ribosomal RNA
Rfam family: Bacterial small subunit ribosomal RNA
Source: RNAcentral
UACGUAGGGUGCAGGCGUUAAUCGGAAUUACUGGGCGUAAAGAGCGCGCAGGCGGCUGGGCAAGUCCGAUGUGAAAGCUUCCGGCUUAACUGGAAAAUUGCAUCGGAAACUGCUCGGCUUGAAGGUGGGAGAGGGUAGCGGAAUUCCCGGUGUAGUGGUGAAAUGCGUAGAUAUCGGGAGGAACACCAGUGGCGAAGGCGGCUACCUGGCCCACUCUUGACGCUGAGGCGCGAAAGCUAGGGGAGCAAACGGG